GGAGAGCCCAGUGUCGCCGUACAGCGUCCGGCCUCCUUCCUUUUUAAGGCUAGUUUGGCAGAUGAAGAUUUAUUCAGUUACGCAUCAUAAGAGGAAGUGAUGAAUCAAUGAAAAUUAGAGUUGGACAGCUUCCAGGAAAAGCCUUAAAUCUGGUUAUACCAGCUAUGAGGUCCUGAAGGAGAAGUUGCUGACUGGAUGUGGAUGAUACACUAACAGAGAAGGCACCUCACUUCUCCCCUCCAAACCUGUGUUUUUGAGUUUGUUUGAUUUUUAUCAUUUAAUCUGUUUUAGAUUUAUAAUCAUUAAAUGUUUAUUUUAUCUUGAUGAAGGCCCCUCAGAAUUGCCUGUACUGCAACAUGGGCGGCAAAUAAAGUUGAUAAAUAAUAUAAAUAAAA
Molecule: long non-coding RNA, 395 nt
Organism: Ahaetulla prasina
Lineage: Eukaryota; Metazoa; Chordata; Lepidosauria; Squamata; Colubridae
Exons: 3
Source: RefSeq, a predicted model, not a curated record